UGUAACAGUCAACUAUACAAUAUAGUCUUUACGAGAUGGCGCUAGAAUUUAUAUUUGUUGUUAUCAGAGCUUACCAUGGUUCAUCGGUGGACCUCAAUUGACCAAUAUCUAUCGUAUUUUAAUGAAAUAUCGGGAUAAAAUGUCGUCUGCGUUAUUCCACGUAAACGUCCCAACAAAAUGAAGUAUUUAAGUAAUCAAUCGUUCCGCACUUAGAAAAUGUCUAACGCGCAUUUUUGGAAACGAAUAUGGUUUCUUUUGUUGUAUAUGCUUUUAUUUAUAUUCCCGCUGAUUGACAGCGAUGAUACAAAUCAAUUGACGUCUUGCGAACGAAAAUCUUCGCGCAGUUUAUUGUUUGUGAGCACAUUGGAUGGAAAAAUAUCUGCUUUAGAUGCUAAUAAUUUAGGAAAGAAACAAUGGACCUUAGAUUUGAAUGGAGGACCUAUGCUGUCAUCGAGUAUUCAUCGCAGAGAAUUGAACGAUAAUGGACAGUGGGUUCGUUUGAUACCAUCUUUGAGAGGUGGAUUAUACAAAUUUGAUGGGGAAAAUUUAGAAGCAAUACCGAUAUCUGCUGUACAGUUAUUAGAUUCAUCUUUUCGGUAUUCCGACAACUUAGUAUUUUCUGGUGGCAGAGAAGUGAAAUCGUAUGGCGUUUCAAGUACAACAGGCAAAGUAUUAUACGAGUGUGGAAUAAAUGGUUGUACUAAUAAUACGAGAGGAGAAUCGUAUAUCGAACAGGACGUGCUUAUCAUUCAACGAUUUCAACAAACGGUAAGAGCUGUUGAACCGCGUACCGGCAUCGAAAGGUGGAACUUCAGUGUUGGACAGCAUAAUUUAGUAUCGGUCUCUAAUUCUAAUAAUUAUUGUCGAAACAAAGCUGAAGAUCAAGUUUUAGAUAUUGAAAUUAAAGUUGUCAUUCCCGAUGGAUUAAUUUGGGCUAUCAAUAGAAACAAUCCUACUGUAAAAUUGUGGCAAUACAAGUUUGAUUCUCCAAUCAUUACCAUAUGGCGUGAAGAUGCGGAUAAAAACGAUAAGCAUAAUAAUUUGAAGGAAAUUAAUUUAUUUGAUAGUAUGCCAUGGUUUCCUGAAACAGAAUUUUCAACAAGCCCGGGCAUUUAUUUGGGUAUGCAUGAUCGCCAGUUGUACAUACAAGAAAAUGCGGCACUGCACAAAUCGUUAGAAGCAUUACCACUGUAUACACAGCAUUCAAAAUAUCCAUGGCAGCCUUAUCCUGCUAGUGUUACUACCGCAGAUAUAAAGGCUCUUCCAGGUCCGGAAAACAGUAACGAUGAUAAUGAUAUUUUACCUGAAGUAAACGAUACGCAAAGUACCACUGCAUUGUCAGUUUUGUAUAAUUCCGAAUAUGUAAACGGAAAUGGGUUUUACCUGUUUUCAGAGGAUCAAUUACAAUUAGAUAACAACAAACAGUGUAAUCGUACAAAUUCAAAUUCAACGCUCGCAAGAGAAGAGCAAAAACUAAUUACAUCGAAUGGUACUCAUAGCAAAGAUGACGAGACACCGGUUCAAGUUAUAAUCGUUUCAUUGUGGUAUUGGUGGAAGGAAGUUUUCAUUAUUUCAAUUACUACUGCUUUUCUACUUAACUUUGUGUUAACGCAACGUCUAUUAAAUGCUACUACAGUUGCUAAAGAUGCAGUACUUCCGCCUUUAAUAGUGGAGAGGCAUAUAGAGACAAAUAAAAAUAGUCCCCAGAUAAGCAGUGACAAAGAAAAUAUUGAUAAUUUUACAUCGCGUUACCUCACAGAUUUUGAGCCAGUGGAUUGUUUAGGAAAAGGAGGUUAUGGUGUUGUUUUCGAAGCAAAAAAUAAAAUAGAUGAUUGUAAUUACGCUAUUAAAAGAAUUGCUCUAUCGAAUAGUCAAUCUUCGAGAGAGCGUGUAAUGCGAGAAGUAAAGGCAUUAGCCAAAUUGGACCAUCAGAACAUUGUGAGAUAUUUCAAUGCAUGGUUAGAAUGUCCGCCCGCAGGAUGGCAAGAAAAACAUGAUCCGAAAUGGCUGAACCAGUUAAGAUUACCAACAGAAUUUCCUUCGGACGCUACUAAUGUUGAAAUGAAAGUUACUGAUUCAGUUUGCAUCAAUCUUUCUCAAACUGAUCAAUCGUCGGUAGAGAGUGCGUGCGAAGCUUACGAUGCAUUGAAUCAUUGCGAUAUGGAUGAAGAUUCCUAUAUCGUCUUUGAAAAAUCUCAUUCAAUGGGUCUAUAUGAAGAUAUAAGCGGCAUUGAUAAUUGCAGUAACGAAAGUUCGAAUGUAUCGUAUUCGAAUAAUGUAACUAAUAAAAUGCUAUCUAAAAUCGAUAACCAUAUACACUCUGAAAGUAUCAUAUUCGAACACACGGAUACUAGACAUUCAAAAAAAGAUGAAAACAGGAAACGCCAAAGAUCAUUUUCUUUAGAUUUGAAUAACAAGCCGAAUACACGUCGGUCUCCGAAAAUGUUCCUUUAUAUACAGAUGCAGUUGUGCCAAAGGCUAAGUCUCAGAGAUUGGCUAAAAAAUCAAUCGAUGCAAGAUUAUCGUCGUGUAUUGAAUAUAUUUCAGCAAAUAGUUGAAGCCGUGGAGUAUGUUCAUUUGCAAGGGCUUAUUCAUCGUGAUUUAAAGCCCUCGAAUAUAUUCUUUUCUUUCGAUGAUAAAAUAAAAGUUGGUGAUUUUGGUCUUGUAACCGCGAUGACAGAAGGGUACGACGAAGUUCGUACUCCUACGCAGAAAGAAAACAUUACUCUAAAGAAUAGUUCGCAUACCGCGUAUGUGGGUACUCAUCUUUAUAUGUCUCCUGAGCAAAUGAAAGGACGAGGCUACAAUUACAAAGUCGAUAUAUAUUCCUUAGGAAUCAUAUUUUUUGAACUUCUGAUUCCAUUUGUUACCGAAAUGGAGAGAAUAACAGCCCUUUUACAUUUGAGAAAGUCAGUGUUUCCAAACAACUUCGACACCGACCACCCAGCCGAAUAUGAUUUAUUAAAAAUGAUGUUGGAUGAAAAUCCUAACAAUAGACCUACAACGUUAGGUAUUAAGGCAAGACCGCCAUUGAAGAAUUACGAAAUAGCCAAUGGAUUUUGCAUUAACGAAGAUUCAAAAUGGCAUUUUGAACUUCCUCAGUUAACGAGACAUUCCUCCGUGACUAAUAGCAGUAGCGGUGAAUCUUGGGAAAACAUUAGUUGAGUAAUUAUACACCCAUAACUAACAAGCAGAGCCAAAACAGGAUAUGCCAUUGCCGCUUGGCGAAGGAUUGCUACACAUUCUGUUUCUGAAUUGCGUACCUAUACCACAACUCGAAGAACAAAAUGUCCAAACUGUCCACGAGGACCACAUACCGUUUACUAAUAGAGAGUUAUAAACAAUCAUAUUGUAUAUGUUGAACCUUCGCACGAGGUGUCCUGUGUUUUCUGUAUUCCUGAACACGAACGUUUUCGUAUUUGAAUACCAUUACCGCAUUGUACGUUGCACAUGCUCCAUUUACUCCAAUUAGUCCAUGUUCCCACUAUUAACCGAUAAUAUCAAUUAACGAUACAUGGCACAUGCUACGAAUGCAUGUACAUUCAAAGUACUCGAGUGUUUCUUGCAAUCG
RNA transcript from Hylaeus anthracinus, 3571 nucleotides. It is a transcript of the gene named eukaryotic translation initiation factor 2-alpha kinase, with no coding region annotated. The record is from RefSeq and is a predicted model, not a curated record. NCBI's taxonomy places the organism in Eukaryota, Metazoa, Arthropoda, Insecta, Hymenoptera, Colletidae. The transcript has 15 exons.